UCCUUCUCCACCCCAAGCUAUCAGACAAGCACCAGAACUGGAUUCGGCUCCAACAUUGUAUUCUCUGGAGGUGUUACUGGACUCUGAAGAGCAGAAAUUCUUCACCUGCAUCCACAGAGUGUAAGCUGUAUAAAGGCAGGAACGUUGUCUUCUGAUAUUUUCUCAAAUAUAACAAGUCUGAAAAAUAAUUAGUGAAUGGAUGUAUGAAUAAAUGAUUAAUCAAUAAAUUUGGAAACACAAGGAUCUAGAAGAGAAACCCCAUGUGAGUAAUUGGCUCCUCUUUUUGAAAUUAUUUUUACUUCAUUACACAAAAUUUCAUUUAUGUAUCACAGCACCUAACUUGGAUCAUGUCUGAUGCUUCUUCCCUUGCUUUACGGCUUUAGAGAAAAAGAGACACCUGGUUGUUUUAUGAAGAUUCCCUUGUGACUACUUGUCACCUUCCAUAGCCUUGCUGCUGGAAUCAGUGCUCAGCUAAGCUGUUCUCUCCUCUGUCUCAGUCUUCUCCAGCUCCAGAUGUAACCAGAAAGAUCUUUCUAGGGUGAGGGUCUGACUGUGAGAGCCCUUUC
RNAcentral lists this long non-coding RNA (566 nucleotides) under Chinchilla lanigera (long-tailed chinchilla). Its description in RNAcentral is "lncRNA (ENSCLAG00000023023.1)". The record is from RNAcentral. Lineage: Eukaryota; Metazoa; Chordata; Mammalia; Rodentia; Chinchillidae.